CAGGCCUUCAUGGACUUCCAGAUGCAGCGCAUGACCUCUGCCUUCAUUGACCACUUUGGCUUCAAUGAUGAGGAGUUCGGGGAGCAGGAGGAGAGUGUGAACGCACCUUUUGACAAGACAGCCAACAUCACCUUCUCCCUCAAUGCUGACGAUGAGAACCCCAACGCCAACCUACUUGAGAUAUGCUACAAGGACCGCAUCCAGCAGUUUGAUGAUGAUGAGGAAGAGGAGGACGAGGAAGAGGCCCAGGGCUCAGGGGAGUCUGAUGGAGAAGAUGGCGCCUGGCAGGGCAGCCAGCUGGCCAGGGGGGCCCGUCUGGGCCAGCCCCCUGGUGUCCGGUGAGUCCCCCUCCAGUUUCCCUUCUCCAAGCUUCCACCACACGGCAGGGCCAAGUGGUCUCCCAACACAUUUGGACUGAGGCUGAAGUGAAUGAAAAAAAUAAGGAACCUGCAUUGGUGUGUAUAUUAGUUGGGGGCACUUUCACUUUUGAGUGAUAGAAAUCUAAUUCAAGGCCAAGCAUGGUGGGCUCAUGUAAUCCCUGAGUGCCUGUAAUCCCAGUACUUUGGGAGGCCAGGGCAGAUGGAUUGCUUGAGUUCAGGAGUUUGAGACCAGCCCUGGGUAACAUAGGGAGAAUCUGUCUCUACAAAAAAUACAAAAGUUAGAUGGG
This 667-nucleotide small RNA is filed under the name Pongo abelii (Sumatran orangutan). RNAcentral describes it as "retained intron". The record is from RNAcentral. Lineage: Eukaryota; Metazoa; Chordata; Mammalia; Primates; Hominidae.